UCUGAAGAAUUAAAUGUAGGCUCUCAAAU
Molecule: non-coding RNA, 29 nt
Filed under: Rattus norvegicus (Norway rat)
Lineage: Eukaryota; Metazoa; Chordata; Mammalia; Rodentia; Muridae
Source: RNAcentral